CGCGAAACCUUUACACUGCACGACAGUGCGAUAGGGGAACUCCGAGUGCGAGGGCAUAGAGCCCUCGCUUUUCUGCACCGUAAGGUGGUGCAGGAACAAGUGCUGGGCAAGACCGGUGCCAGCCGCCGCGGUAAUACCGGCAGCACGAGUGAUGGCCGAUCUUAUUGGGCCUAAAGCGUCCGUAGCUGGCCGUGCAAGUCCGUCGGGAAAUCCAGUGGCUCAACCUCUGGGCUUCCGGCGGAAACUGCUCGGCUUGGGACCGGAAGACUCGAGGGGUACGUUCGGGGUAGGAGUGAAAUCCCGUAAUCCUGAACGGACCACCGAUGGCGAAAGCACCUCGAGAGCACGGAUCCGACAGUGAGGGACGAAAGCUAGGGUCUCGAACCGGAUUAGAUACCCGGGUAGUCCUAGCUGUUAACGAUGCCCGCUCGGUUCAGCGCAGGCUACGAGCCUGUGCCGCGCCUCAGUGAAGACGUAAGCGGGCCGCCUGGGAAGUACGUCCGCAAGGAUGAAACUUAAAGGAAUUGGCGGGGGAGCACUACAACCGGAGGAGCCUGCGGUUUAAUUG
Molecule: ribosomal RNA, 568 nt
Filed under: haloarchaeon enrichment culture clone B1A-C36
Lineage: Archaea; Methanobacteriati; Methanobacteriota; Halobacteria; Halobacteriales
Description: bacterial SSU rRNA
Rfam family: Archaeal small subunit ribosomal RNA
Source: RNAcentral